UCUUGUCGACUCUCUAUAUUAAAGUGCUUUGUCCUGAGAAUCCUCGGGAGUGGAUGGGAUUUUGUAUGUUUGGGCAGUCGUUAUCAAUGGCGGUGGAUGAAAAAAUCGGCACACUAUAUCGAUUAAUGAAUCACAAAACACCUCGGAAUAUUAAUCAUUGGCGGCUCGGGAGAGGAGAUGGAAGGAUUUUCGCGAUUAAAUUGGAUUGAGAUGACUCACAUCUUGGACCUCGAGGCACUACUUUUAGAAGAUGCACACACACGUCUUGACACACACGUUACCGACCGAACUCUGGCUGCCCCGCCCCCUGGCUUGGGUCAUGUGGGACCCUGCUUGACCUUUGAUUGGUCCCUGUCUCUGUCGGCCAUGAUGGUAAAUUUGGUCGGGAAGAAGCUUUGCCUAACAUCCCAAUCUCUCAGGACAUUCAACUCUGGAAUAUGAGGGCCUCUUUGUUCUAAGUGACCUAGAUACACGACUUGGAUCUGUCGUUCUUUUCUCUUCUACUUCUUCCAUCUCCAAAGUCCUUUGACUGCCAUCUUUAUUUGAAUCCAUACAGAAUACAUUAUAUCCAACAUGGUACAUAAUUAUUUAUUAGACAAUAUUCUUUAUAAUAUUACAUUUACACACAUUUUACUGAUAAUAAUAAAAAAUGGCAUUUGUUUUAAAAUGUGUUAUUCUCUCCUAAUACCUCUUUCAUGUUAUAAUAUCAAUUGCCAUCUAUCGAUAAAAUAUAUGUGACUAUUAUUUUUGACAAUAGGUUUCUUAUCAUUAUAUUAUCAAAUAUUAUUUACAAACCUUACUGCAAUGAUAAAAAUAAUUAGAUGAGAGGUCUUGGAUCAGUAGUGGUCUGUAGAUUAAUUUGGCGAAACCACUAAGAAAAUUCACCACUGAUGAGGCAAGCCCUCUCUUAUAAUAAUUUCUAUCAUGGCAGUAAGGCCUUAAAGUCUCUCUCUCUCUCUCUCUCUCUCUGUAUAUUUUAAAAGGGAUCUGUAUUAAAUUCUGAAAAAAAGAAAAAUAAUUUUUUGGGAAAGAAAAAAAAAUAAAAUUUUUUUAAAAUAGUGAGUGGUUAGAUACUAUUGGGGAGAAAGUAAAUGAUGGAAAUAAGUAAAAAAAAGAAAUUUGAGUAGAUAGGGGUGCUUGCUAAACUAGGAAAAAAUAUGAUAAUUUUUUGGAGAAAAAAAAAAAAUCUUGCCUGCAUAGGUGUUCAAUCUUGCUGUGUGGAAACCCACAGCAAGGGAAACUCUAUGAGGUGCAAUCCAAACAAAACAUAUAAGACAUUAACAGAAAUAAAAAGAAAACUAUAGACAAUAAAUUUUGGUGAUGGAGGGAAAAAAAAAGAAAAAGAAAUCUGAUUAGCCUUUGGGGCGGUGAAAAAAUAUAAACAAAACAUAAAAAAAGAAAUCAAAGCUCCUGUAUGAUAACUGAAGGCUGAUACAUGAGAAGUAUUGCGUCAGGUCAGUUGUUCAUUCAGUUAGGACAAAACAAGGUUUAAACAAUAAAAGGAAAAAAUAAACUUGAGGUGAUUAAGAAAUUGAAAGGGUGAUAGACAUGGAUGGUGGGAAUAAAAAAAAUAAAAAUAAAAAAAAAUAAAAGUGCUGGUUGUGUACAAGUCCUUUAAAAUUGGUUAACAAAAAUAUACACAAAAGAAGAAUAUUUUUUUACAUAACAAUGUCCAAUCUUUGUUUAUUAUAGGGUCGUAGGUCAUAAGGUUGCCAAAACUAUAUAGGUGCGUGAAUGUAUGCGAGUGUGUGUGAGUGUAUGUUCCAGAAAGUAACUUUAAGUGUGGUGACACGCGAAAAGUGACGGCGGGUUUGUUUACAUUCCGCAGGGAGGGUGUGACGUCGGUCACGUGAUCGGAAAGGACGUGACGUCGGCGCGGCGGAAGGUUUCUGUAAAGUGGACGCCAGCUGACAGCGGGGUGAUCGACGAGUGUUUGUAAAGGUGGGGAGAUUGCUAUUCGACUUGGCGCGCUCUAAAGAGGGUUUGGAAAAUCUCUCCUAUGAUUUCACCUAUUAGAGCGACCAAGGCAUGACUGUGGACAAGGAUGGUCCAUAACUCCGGGAGAAUUAUUCCUAUGGUUCGAUGGAUUAGUUCCACUACGGCGAUGGUUAUUUCGAAUAGGGCUUCCUGUAGUUGGAAGAGACGGUUGGGCUGCAGUGUAUAGACACUGACAUACAGUAGGGUGGCCAUGGGUAAUAGUACAGUGGGUAGGAUGAAAAGGUUGAUGAGGUAUAGGAGGUGGAACAAGGGGAAGGUUUUCACGUUACGAAAAAACCUUGCCUGUAAGGGAAUUGGUUUGAAUUCAGCCCUAACUGUAGGGAUUUGGGUUUUAACUUUGGUUAUAUGGGUUGGACGGGAUAUUGCAGGUUGGGGAAUAUCGCGUUGGGCGAUAAUGUUACAUUGUGGGUCAACAGGGGUGGUAGUGGUACAAUUGCCUAUUGUAGGAGCAAAGCGCUCAACUGUAAAGAGGUCUGGGGUGAGGUGCUCGAACAGUGGUGGUAGCGUCCUAGAUUGGGGUUUAGCAGGGUGUGGUAUCAGAGUGGGAGGUGCGAUAUAACGAAUAUUUUCGUUAUAGUACUGUAAUUUAUUUACAUGGACUGUGUCGGUAUUCCGAUUUAGAGGUUGGUUGGGUCGGUUUAUUCUCACCACGUUGGGAGAGAUGAUCUCUAAGAUCUCGUAGGGACCCGUGAAAUACGGAGUCAGUUUGCCUGUAUUGGGGUGAUGGUAAACUUUUACCAACACGAGAUCUCCGGGUUCAAAAUGGGGUGUCUUAUGUUGUUGGUCGUAGGCAUGUUUGUCCUUGAGGUGCUUGGCCUGGGUACGUUCAUGGGCUAUCCGUCGGGCUGUGGUUAAAACGGGGUAGGGGUUUAUAUGCUCAGUGAGCUCGGGAGGUAGAACGCCGAACAUCAGGUAGCCAGGUGGGAACCCGGUAACUGAGUGGGGCGUGUUGUUAUACACCACAGUAACGCGCUUCGCCAGCUUAGUCCAUGCGGCUUUGGGGUUUUCCAAAUGGAGUAACCUUAGUUUGCCUGUUAAGGUAGCGUUCAGGCGCUCGCAUAGACCAUUAGCUUGGGGGUUGUUACUGGUGGUGAGCAGGGGAUGGAUGUUCCUGUUAAUCAGGAACUUCCUGAACUUUGGUGAGGUGAACGCAGGCGCUCUAUCCGUGAGUAGGCGUUUCGGAGAGCCGUCCUGCAACACUCGCUUUAUCACCUGUUGAUAGGUGGUGAUGCUGGUAGAUUUUGAGGGGAAGGUCCACGUGUAGCGCGAAAAGUGAUCCACCACAACGUGGAGGUAAGCUUUGGCGUUACCAUAUUUGGCAAGUCCAGCUAUGGUGUCGAGGGCGACCAGAUCAAAAGGCUGAGUGGCCACAGGAAGUUGUCCUAGUUCCCCAAACGUGGGACCUCGAGGGUGUUUUGUUGACUGACAGAUGGCGCAGGCUUUGGUGGUUUUGGAGAUGUCUUCUGACAUCCCCUUCCAGUAGUACUGGGUAGAGAUGAGCCUGGUCAUCUGGGAUAUGCCCGGGUGGUUGUACCGACUGUGCACCUUUGUUAGUAGGUCGGGAACGAGGGCGUCAGGGACGACAAUUUUGGUUACACCUCUACGCUUUAGGGUUUGCAGUCCGUUUCGAUCAAUGGUCAGUUUAGAUUCUCCCGAAGGAGUGAGUUGGUGGUUCUUAAUGAGGGUGGUGUCUAAGAAUCCACAAAACGGGUUACGGGAUAGGAGGUCCGCUUCAUGUUGUAGUGAUCCUUUUAUGUAGCGGACUUCGUAUUCGUAACACGAUAACCUCAAACUCCAUCGGAAUAAUCUGCCUGGCGGGUUUUUGAUCGUCUUCAGCCACUGCAGUGCGUGAUGGUCAGAAAAUAUGGUGAAUUUUCUGCCCAUUAGAUACACACGGAACUUCUCCACGCUCUCGACAAUGGCGAGGCAUUCUAGUUCGGAGAUGGUGUAGUUCCGCUCGUGUACACGCAGAGCGCGGCUGAAAUAUUGGACUGGGUAGGCCUUCCCAGCGGAGUGGACUUGUUUGAGGACGCCUGCAAUGCCAAGUGUUGAUGCAUCGCAAUAUACCUGGCAUGGUAGUUCAUCCUUGUAGAGGUGCAAUACGGGGUGUUGUGUGAGGCUUUCCUUCAGGCUGGUGAACGCCUUUUGGCAUUUGUCAUCCCAGUCCCACGUCACAUCCUUCUUGAGAAGGUUGUUGAGUGGGGUCCGCAAACGGGCAUAGUCCGGGAUGAACUUAUUAUAGACGUUCACGGCGCCUAAGAAGGAUUGCAGCGUUUUGCGAUUGUUCGGGGGUGGGAUAGCGUGGAUUACGUCGGUAUUGCGGAUAAGUGGGGUGGUGGUACCAGCGGUGAUUGUGUACCCCAGAAAUUCGAUGGUCUGCCUAAAAAACUCGCAUUUGGUGAGGUUGAGUUGCAAGUUCUCCGCGUCGCAGAACGCGAAAAACCUGCGCAGGUGUUCUUGGUGUUCCUCCAGUGUCUCCGAAUAUAUGACAAAGUCGUCAAAAUAGUGCGCCACACAAUCAAGUCCGUGCCCCUGCAGGACCUGAUUGAUUGCCCUUUCAUAGAUCUGUGGACUGGUCUUAAGUCCGAAAGGCAAUCGGGUGGGCUGAUACAACCCGUCUAUCGUGGCGAAGGCCAACAGUGGUCGAGAAUCAGGGUGUAUCGGCACUUGCCAAUAUGCGGAGGAGACGUCGGCAGUCGAGAAAUACUUGGCCCGCGCGAGACGGUCCAGUAUAUCUUCGAUCCUCGGGAGUGGAUGGACAUCGGAGCUUAUGACCUCGUUCACCUUCCUAUAGUCGAUACAAAACCUUUUGGUCUUGUCUCGCUUGGUCACUAGGGUGACCGGGCUAGAGAAAGGGGAGUAGGACGGCUCAAUGAUGUCAUUAUCCAACAUCUGUCGGAUCUGACUGCGUAUUUCCCGUUGGUCGCAUAUCGGUACCCUAUAUGGGCGGAUGGUGACGACUUUGUCGGAGUUGGUGGCGAUUCUUACUGGGGGAACCUUUAGGCAUGGGACCGCGAAUUUGUUCCGGGAGAACACGUGUUGGUAUUGGCGCAAUAGCGCCGGGAAUUGAGGUGGAUACGGUGGCUGCGGUUGAUUGUCUAUGGGGAUCCCUGGGAGGUGUUCUGGUGAUGUUGGGUGGUGUGUGUGGUACAUGGAAUGGUGUGUGGAAUGGGGAUGUUUGGGUGUAUGGUGAAGGUGGUCCGUUUGGACCUUGGUGGGGUGUGAGAGGUUGGCAUUGGGUGGUUGUUCUGGUACCUUGACCCUAUAAUAAGAGCAGUUGGCUCUAAAAAAGUUCUUUGAUUGGACAUGGUGCGGUGGUUGGGUGAGUCCCUGGGUUGUGGACGUGUUGUCCGAAAAAUGCGCAUAUUGGGUAUUGUUGGCGGAAGGCGGAAAAAUAGUGUGGGCCUUGCAUAGGUCCGCCUGGCAUUCCCAAUAUGUGCACCUUUCGGGCAACACAGCAAAGUGGUAGGUCAGGGGCGACAAAGGUGCAUCGAGUUGGUACAUAGUGCCAUGUGCAAAAUCGAUUUUUAAUUUGAAUUUACGGAGGGUAUUAAUACCAAGUAUUCCAAAUGGUAGAGGGGCGUCCACCACGUGGAAUACUUCGUUUUGGGUUAUGGCAUGAAUGGAUAGGGGGAAGGUAAUCUGGCCUAUUGUUGGCACGUGGCCAUCUAUUGUCUGUAAAUUUAUUAUUUUUUUAGUUAUUAAAUUUAGGUCAGGGAAAUUAUUCUUUAAAUUUUUAUAUAUGGCACAUGACACUAGGUUAACGGACGCACCCGUGUCUAUCAGGAAUGGUAGGGACAGUCCAUGGGAGAUUGGCAGACUAAUUGUCAGGUUGACGAAAGGCCUGGUCAGUAGGCCUACCUGCUGGCUGCUGGUCUGGGGCUCCCUUGGUUAUCCCAGUGGCUUGUGCGCGUGACGCUUGGUGAUGGGGCUGGGCUCGCGGCCGUUGUUCCGCUAGUUGCGCGGAGCGCGCUGCUCGUGCGUCUCCGGAGGCACGGGGCAACUGCGGGGCUUGUCUGAGACGACACUCAGAGUGCCAGUGUAGUCCACCACAAAAACGGCAGUCUGUUGGCGGGGUCGACCUGGUUGGCACUGUUCUUGGACUAGGUCGCACCGGUGCGUAGGGGCCCAGUAGGGGUGGUGCGUGCUCGUCUGGGUGCCUUGGAGAUGGUGCGCCGCUGCCGCGGAUCCGCUGCACCAGCCGGAACCAUGCACCUAGGUUCUCUGGCGGCACAAUGCGGACGAGGCGCUGGUCGGAGGGUGGCAGCCCCUCGGUGAGCGUCUCCAAGAUGACCUCUUGUGGGAGGCCCAGUUGUAGACCCAGCGCGGUCUUAUUCCGAUAGUAUUCUUCCAGGUUGGGCUGUCCGGCCAGCUUCAUGGAGAAGUAUUGGGCAUACGUGGCCUCAUUGGUCUCCGGAUAGAGAUCCAGGAAGGUCUGUCUCACCUGGAUGUAAUGUUGGGUCUCCAUCCGAAGCCUCCUGAAGUGUUCUAGCGGUUUGUUGUUCAGGUAACGGGGUAGGCGGAGCACUUUUUCCGUGUUGGUGAGACCAUCCCAGUCUGUUUUCUGGUCAUAUGUUCGAAAGAACUGGGCGGCUGGGUAGGUCCCGUCGAAGCUCUGGACUUCUAUCUCCGUCCGAUGGGUCACGCGGUCGCUGGUGGUCUGAAGGGCAGAUAAACACGCCGCGAGGCGUGCCAAGACGGCCGGCAACUCUGCCGACGGAGGGGGUGGUUCUAUUUUGGGAGUACUUACGGCGGGGUUGUUUUCUCCCUCUGCGGUGUAUUCCUCCGCGUCUUGCGUUUCGUUUUUCUCGUCCAUCCUGUCGACUCUCUGUGGUAUAAGGGAAAAGGAUCCUGAGAAUCUUGUCGACUCUCUAUAUUAAAGUGCUUUGUCCUGAGAAUCCUCGGGAGUGGAUGGGAUUUUGUAUGUUUGGGCAGUCGUUAUCAAUGGCGGUGGAUGAAAAAAUCGGCACACUAUAUCGAUUAAUGAAUCACAAAACACCUCGGAAUAUUAAUCAUUGGUGGCUCGGGAGAGGAGAUGGAAGGAUUUUCGCGAUUAAAUUGGAUUGAGAUGACUCACAUCUUGGACCUCGAGGCACUACUUUUAGAAGAUGCACACACACGUCUUGACACACACGUUACCGACCGAACUCUGGCUGCCCCGCCCCCUGGCUUGGGUCAUGUGGGACCCUGCUUGACCUUUGAUUGGUCCCUGUCUCUGUCGGCCAUGAUGGUAAAUUUGGUCGGGAAGAAGCUUUGCCUAACAUCCCAAUCUCUCAGGACAUUCAACUCUGGAAUAUGAGGGCCUCUUUGUUCUAAGUGACCUAGAUACACGACUUGGAUCUGUCGUUCUUUUCUCUUCUACUUCUUCCAUCUCCAAAGUCCUUUGACUGCCAUCUUUAUUUGAAUCCAUACAGAAUACAUUAUAUCCAACAUGGUACAUAAUUAUUUAUUAGACAAUAUUCUUUAUAAUAUUACAUUUACACACAUUUUACUGAUAAUAAUAAAAAAUGGCAUUUGUUUUAAAAUGUGUUAUUCUCUCCUAAUACCUCUUUCAUGUUAUAAUAUCAAUUGCCAUCUAUCGAUAAAAUAUAUGUGACUAUUAUUUUUGACAAUAGGUUUCUUAUCAUUAUAUUAUCAAAUAUUAUUUACAAACCUUACUGCAAUGAUAAAAAUAAUUAGAUGAGAGGUCUUGGAUCAGUAGUGGUCUGUAGAUUAAUUUGGCGAAACCACUAAGAAAAUUCACCACUGAUGAGGCAAGCCCUCUCUUAUAAUAAUUUCUAUCAUGGCAGUAAGGCCUUAAAGUCUCUCUCUCUCUCUCUCUCUCUCUGUAUAAAAAUAUUUGAUAAUUAUUAUCAUAAGAAACCUAUUGCCCCCCUCCCCUCGAUAAAAAUAAUAUAAAUGGAUUCUAUAAUAUCUCUUUCACACACUCAUAUCCUCGAAUUGUGUGUCGGAGUGUUACACUUUAUCUUGAAAUUGGCGUUUUUGGUGAGAAACUUGAAUAUCGCGUUCAGGUGUGUAAACAACAUGUGACUCUACACUGUGAAAUCCCUGGCAGGCGGUGUUGAGAUGUGAGGAUUAUACGACUGGGAAAACAUGUGUUGUGUGUGCGCUGCUAUUCUCUUUUUAAAUUACUUCUUUAACAUCUCGAUUGACACACGUUAACAUAAAUCACACUUCCAUUACUGUAAAAUCACAUCUAGAAGUCUUCAAAUUUGAGUUAAACGAUUUUUUUUACCCAUAUAUAUAUAUAUUUAAUUAAAAAGGCAUAUAUUGGAUCAACUAUCAAUUAUUUUACCAAUAUUUCAGUUGGCUGAACGCCAACCUUUAUCAAGGUGUUAUAACAUUUUUAAAGUUUGUCAACAACAAACUCAGCGCCCACAUAACGUCAACAGCAUUAAGAUUUAAAAAUAUUUUGUUAUAUUCAAUGGGGAGAAAAAAAAUUGAUAUAUAUAUUUAUAUUAUAGACAAAAUAAAUUUUGUAAAAUAUAGGUGUGAAAAAAAUAUAUAUAAAUGGUUUACUUUUCUUUAUUUGUCAAUAAAUUGGGUUGGCCAAAUAUCAAGGAACAACCGAUCUCCAUCUUUGGACACUUUUAUUUUUCCGUUUAUCAUUACUCUUCACAAUUCAUACUUCAUCUCUAAGGUUAGAAAUAAUCGUCAUUUCUCCUUAAAAAUAAAUUUCGAUUUUUCGUUUGAAAUAAACAAAUGCGGGAUAAUUUUCAAAUGUCGUUUUACAAUCAUAUGCCGCAUUAUAUUGUAUUAUGAACAACGUUUAGUUUAUUUUUGUUCCAUUAGAUGGCGCUCUUCCAUUGGUUUUAUUCUUCUACAUAGUAACCUUAUACCCAUAUCAGAAUCUAUAGUGAUAUAAGCGCACUCUAUGUGGUAAAAGGAUUUUAGGUUCCAGAAACCUAAGUUAAACAAAGGGCUGAUGAUGAUAUCCUAUAUUUGGUAGCAGAAUGAAAGGUAAUUUUAAAAAUGUCUAAUUAUCAUCAUUUGUUAUGUUCUUCCAUCUAAAAUGCAUAUGUGAGCCGUCAGGAUAUGCCUUUUUUGUUUUGAAAAUAGAGCAAUCCAUAUUUAAUCCAUUAGAUAACACUGGUCAACAAGAUUUUUGCACAAGAGAACCUGAUUAUGUUUCUAGUGUAACUUUUCAUGCUGAACUCAAAAAUCUAAUCAGAAAUUUCCCAUCACCUAUGGUUUUUGCGUGACGGUCUUUUUUUAGUAUUGGGAUAAAUACACUAAAAAUUGCAAACAUUGUCACGUAACUGGUUUAUCAAAAAAUAUUUUUCUUUGUCCACAAAGAAAUAGCAUCAUAUCUACAUGUCCUGAAUCCAAAUAUACCAUUAGUUUU
Molecule: non-coding RNA, 9343 nt
Filed under: Cordylochernes scorpioides
Lineage: Eukaryota; Metazoa; Arthropoda; Arachnida; Pseudoscorpiones; Chernetidae
Source: RNAcentral